UUAAAGUUGUUGCAGUUAAAAAGCUCGUAGUUGGAUUUCUGAUAGUAGCGUUGGGCCCGCCCGGGUUACCGGUGUGAGUGCCUGUUCGCUCCUUUCAUCCUUCUAGAGAACGGUUCUCUCCUUCAUUGGCAGUGGGAUCGCAAUCUAGAUCUUUUACUUUGAAAAAAUUAGAGUGUUUAAAGCAGGCUUGUGCUGUGAAUACAUUAGCAUGGAAUAAUAAUUUAGGACUUUAGUUCUAUUUUGUUGGUUUCUAGAACUGAAGUAAUGAUUGAUAGGGAUAGUUGGGGGUGCUAGUAUUCAGCGGCCAGAGGUGAAAUUCUUGGAUUCGCUGAAGACUAACUUAUGCGAAAGCAUUCACCAAGGAUGUCUUCUUUAAUCAAGAACGAAAGUUGGGGGAUCGAAGACGAUCAGAUACCGUCGUAGUCUCAACCAUAAACUAUGCCGACUAAGGAUGAGUGAACGUUAAUUUGACUUCAUUCGCACUUUAUGAGAAAUCAAAGUUUUUGGGUUCCGGGGGGAGUAUGGUCGCAAGGCUGAAACUUAAAGGAAUUGACGG
Molecule: ribosomal RNA, 556 nt
Filed under: Euplotes focardii
Lineage: Eukaryota; Ciliophora; Spirotrichea; Euplotida; Euplotidae
Description: partial Eukaryotic small subunit ribosomal RNA
Rfam family: Eukaryotic small subunit ribosomal RNA
Source: RNAcentral